RNAcentral lists this long non-coding RNA (1101 nucleotides) under Oreochromis niloticus (Nile tilapia). Its description in RNAcentral is "lncRNA (ENSONIG00000031537.1)". The record is from RNAcentral. Lineage: Eukaryota; Metazoa; Chordata; Actinopteri; Cichliformes; Cichlidae.
GUUUAAUAAAAAGCGAGCAGUUUACUUGGCUACAACCCUCCCCCCAAAAAGAAUCCCAAACAUGAACACAAAACAGGCCAAAGCGAAUAGGGGUGAAAACUAAACUUAAACCUAAACUGGGAAAACUAAGACAAUAAGACAUGAAUGAACAUGAGUAGUAGCAAAAACUCUGUGACCUGACAAGACUCAAUAUGAAUGUAGCCCGGGUAUAUUGGAUGGGGCUAAGUUUUAUUUCUAGUUGUGUAUAUAUAUACAGCUGAAUAGUUAUCUUGUUCAUUUUCCUAUAUUUGUAUUAUUCAUAACUUAGUUUAUUGUUUAGGUGCUUUUAUUGUGAAAGGGGCGGAGAGAGGAAAAGAAACGGGGGAGAAGGCAGCAGCCACGAGAGAUGGGAGGAGAGAAAAGCGUGCGCGAGAUGCGGCUAGCGUCUGCAGAGACUUUUUCCAAUGGACGACAAGGAUAAAUCAUCCCACGUCGACGGCUGAGUAACAGAGCGUGACUGUGAGGUGGUGCAGCCCGGACUGGUUUGCACUGUUGCCUCGGAAUCACCUAGUUAGCGGCGUGCUAACUUGGCUAACCGGAGUUAGCCCUCAAGGCGGACUUCGCUAACGAUCACCGGACCUGUACAGAGCGAGAGGCUACUAACUGCAGAGGCUGACCGAUCAGGUUUGCUGCUCGGAAGGAGUAAGUGUGCAGCUGCAGGGACUAAGGGACGGACCUCUCGGCUUGCUGUGAGUUUGUGGAAAGAGACUGAGAGUUCCAGGUAGGAGCACCAUUUUGUUUUCUUUUAGGACCGUCUGUUCCUACGCACACAAGCAUCGAUCCAGGCCUGCACCGAGGGGACUUGGGAAAUUGGGGUGUGAGCGAGUGUGUGGGGCCCAUUACGGUCUCUGUCACGUUGGCCUUAAAAGAUCCUAGGAAUCAUCAGCCUCUUGGCUCAUGCUUAAGAAAGCUGUACAGAAAUCUUGACAACCUUUUGGAGCGGGGCCAUUUAGGAGAAGACCAAUGAAAGGAGACAGACAUAACUUCUAGCAACAAGCUCCAUCACAGGUAUGAUAAUUUAUGUUUUACUUUGUUGAUUGUUGUAACUUAAAAUUAGUUGCU